UGUGUUUUUCAUAGUAGUGUUGUUUGUAAAAUGUAAUUAUGGAUGAACAAUUGUCGUUUAAAGAGAGUGAUGCUGGUUCUAGUCACCCUAAUGAAGAACCAUUUGUUAUGUUGGGUGAUUCUGAUAAAGAGGAUGAUUGAAAGGAUUUGUUAAGGUUGGGGUUCAUACUAUCAAAGAAAAAUUAUCUGGUGGUGGUAAGAAAUGUAAGAAAUUGACUUCUACAGCUUGGGAAACUUUUGAUGUGGUUGUAGUCAAUGGUGUUAAAAAGGCAAAGUGUAAGGAUUGUAAUAGCUUACUCUCAUAAUCGGGAGCUAAUAGAACUUUACACCUCAACAAACAUGCUAGAAAACAUUGUUCGGGAAGGCACUUGAGGCUUGCUAGUGGUCAAUCACAAUUAAAGUUCAAGAAAGAAGAUGACGGGACCACUUCUUUGUCACUUAAGGAACAAACAAAGAAAGUAUCAUUUCAUCAAGAUGUUUCAAGGCGAGAGUUGGUUAAGAUGGUAGUAGUACAUGAGUAUCCUUUGUUAAUUGUAGAUCACAUUGGUUUUAGGAGUUUUGUCAAGAGUUUGAAUGAUGAUUUUAAGAUGAUUUCAAGGAAUACAUUGAAAUGUGAUGUGGUGAAGAUGUGCAACAAUGAGAGAGGUUCUCUUAAGGCUUUGUUAGUUGUUAACGAGGGUAGAGUGGCGAUAACAACUGAUAUGUGGACUGCCUCCAACCAAAAAAAAGGGUAUAUGGCCGUGACAUCCCACUUCAUUGAUGAUAAGUGGAUUUUGCAUAAUCGAACAAUAAGGCACACUUGAUGGAAAGAAUUUGUCAUACACAAUUAAUGAAGAUUGUGAUUAUGAUAAUGAAGCUCAAGAUAUCAUUGACAUGGAUGUUGAUGAUGUUAGUAGUGAUGAAGAAUAGCCCUCUUGAAGUCUUGGACUCUUGGUAGAUGGACCAAGUGAAGAAUGAAAGAUGUAAAAUUGCAAAGUGCAAACUAUGUUUUAAUUGUUUGUAAGAACUGUAGACUUUGUAAUAUUAUUGA
Long non-coding RNA from Beta vulgaris subsp. vulgaris (sugar beet), 1029 nucleotides. RefSeq lists it as uncharacterized. NCBI's taxonomy places the organism in Eukaryota, Viridiplantae, Streptophyta, Magnoliopsida, Caryophyllales, Amaranthaceae. The transcript has 3 exons. The record is from RefSeq and is a predicted model, not a curated record.